RNAcentral lists this ribosomal RNA (301 nucleotides) under uncultured bacterium. RNAcentral describes it as "partial 16S ribosomal RNA". It matches the Rfam family "Bacterial small subunit ribosomal RNA", at positions 509 to 807 of the family's 1533-position model. The record is from RNAcentral.
CAGCCGCCGCGGUAAUACAGAGGGUGCGAGCGUUAAUCGUAUUUACUGGGCGUAAAGCGUGCGUAGGCGGCUUCUUAAGUCGGAUGUGAAAUCCCUGAGCUUAACUUAGGAAUUGCAUUCGAUACUGGGAAGCUAGAGUAUGGGAGAGGAUGGUAGAAUUCCAGGUGUAGCGGUGAAAUGCGUAGAGAUCUGGAGGAAUACCGAUGGCGAAGGCAGCCAUCUGGCCUAAUACUGACGCUGAGGUACGAAAGCAUGGGGAGCAAACAGGAUUAGAUACCCCGGUAGUCCCUGUCUCUUAUAC